Molecule: ribosomal RNA, 388 nt
Filed under: uncultured bacterium
Lineage: Bacteria
Description: bacterial SSU rRNA
Rfam family: Bacterial small subunit ribosomal RNA
Source: RNAcentral
AUUGAACGCUGGCGGAAUGCUUUACACAUGCAAGUCGAACGGCAGCGGACCUUCGGGUGCCGGCGAGUGGCGAACGGGUGAGUAAUAUAUCGGAACGUACCUUUCAGUGGGGGAUAACGUAGCGAAAGUUACGCUAAUACCGCAUAUUCUGUGAGCAGGAAAGCAGGGGAUCGCAAGACCUUGCGCUGAUUGAGCGGCCGAUAUCAGAUUAGCUAGUUGGUGAGGUAAAGGCUCACCAAGGCGACGAUCUGUAGCGGGUCUGAGAGGAUGAUCCGCCACACUGGAACUGAGACACGGUCCAGACUCCUACGGGAGGCAGCAGUGGGGAAUUUUGGACAAUGGGCGCAAGCCUGAUCCAGCCAUGCCGCGUGAGUGAAGAAGGCCUCGG